Molecule: ribosomal RNA, 200 nt
Filed under: uncultured bacterium
Lineage: Bacteria
Description: partial 16S ribosomal RNA
Rfam family: Bacterial small subunit ribosomal RNA
Source: RNAcentral
AGAGUUUGAUCAUGGCUCAGAUUGAACGCUGGCGGCAUGCCUUACACAUGCAAGUCGGACGGCAGCGCGGGCUUCGGCCUGGCGGCGAGUGGCGAACGGGUGAGUAAUACAUCGGAACGUGUCCUGGAGUGGGGGAUAGCCCGGCGAAAGCCGGAUUAAUACCGCAUGCGCUCUGAGGAGGAAAGCGGGGGACCUUCGGG